AAUACAACUCUCAGCAACGGAUAUCUUGGCUCUUGCAACGAUGAAGAACGCAGCG
RNAcentral lists this ribosomal RNA (55 nucleotides) under Entosthodon serratus. Its description in RNAcentral is "5.8S ribosomal RNA". It matches the Rfam family "5.8S ribosomal RNA", at positions 1 to 50 of the family's 154-position model. From Rfam's summary of the family: 5.8S ribosomal RNA (5.8S rRNA) is a component of the large subunit of the eukaryotic ribosome. It is transcribed by RNA polymerase I as part of the 45S precursor that also contains 18S and 28S rRNA. The record is from RNAcentral. Lineage: Eukaryota; Viridiplantae; Streptophyta; Bryopsida; Funariales; Funariaceae.